Molecule: long non-coding RNA, 2046 nt
Filed under: Elaeis guineensis (African oil palm)
Lineage: Eukaryota; Viridiplantae; Streptophyta; Magnoliopsida; Arecales; Arecaceae
Description: long non-coding RNA (EGUI_LNC073336)
Source: RNAcentral
CCAAACAGACAGGAGAGAGGGAGGAGCGAGGGUGAUGAAGUGCCCAAAGGUGGUGCUGAUGAUCUCUAUCGUGUAUCUAAUUCUGAAGGCGAGUCCCCUCCUCGUCUCGGUGAAGGUAGUAGGAAAGUACUCCUCCGGCUCCGCCUCUAAAGAAACCCCGAUAGAGAGGUGGAGAGCCGUAGACUCCAUCAGCUUCCAAUACGGAAAGUUCGGCCGCGGCACCGACAGACGAGAACAGGGCUUCCAAGAUGAUAAGAGAUUCUCGCCGACUGGCUCCAACCCACUCCACAAUUUAUAGCUGCAGUAGCUCCUGGGGAAAGUUAGCAUCGCGCGGAGUCCUCUCCGUGCAUGGCUUGCAAGGCGCCUAACGAGCUGAGUGUGUUUUUGUGCUUUUUCUUCUUCUUCUUCUUCUUUUUAAUAACUAGUUAAAAAUCGAUUUAUUGUUUGGAGCCUUGAUGUAUUUGAAUGGUCCUUCUAAUAUUUCGUUCUACGACUUUAAUAAUAUUAGAUAACUUUUAUGCAAGUUUCGCCCGACUUUCUCUCUCCACUCUCGAAUUGGGUGGUUCCUUGAUUGCCUUUUUCCUAAGAAAAUGGCAAGCCGUGUCUGCUGACAUGUUAUGUUCUCUCCAGAUAGCAACGAAACAAAAAUAUUAUCACAAACUGCUGAAGUUGACUACCUGGGAUAUUUACUGGUCACAAAAAAUUUUAAAAUGUAUAUAUACAGUUUUAAGUGCUGUGUUGUCUUUCUUUUCUUUUCUUCUUCUUCUUUUUCUUUUUUUUUGAAAGAACUCAAAAAUGCAUUUGUCGUAUUACAUUCAUAUAUUAAAACAACUUUUAUCAAAAGAAAUAUCUCCAAUACAUAAUAGCUUGUAGAUAUAUGAUGCAUCAUAUAUUUUGUUUCAUUUUUUUGAUGAAAAUGCCAUCAUAUAUUUUAUAUAAAGAAAUCUUUAUAUUUAAUCUACAUUUACCUUAUACCAAUUAAUGUUGUAUAUAUAACUAGGGAAUAUGGCUAUUUUUUUGGUCAUAUUUGGGAGAAAAUUAAGGAACGAUGAUAGAAUGAUUAUGGGCCGAUUUGAAAGUGCAGAAGCAUAAAUUAUUUGGAGAAUAUGUCCAGAUACUUUUACCGGUCAAGAAAGGAUGGUGGUGGAAGGAUAACAUCAAACUCUCUCCUCAUAUGCAAAAUAAUCUAUAUUGGGGAUCGCCUAAAUCAGUUUUGACAGGAAAAAUAUAGUAUCCUAGGUUUUGGACAUCAUGUGAUUCGUGGGCUUCCCCAAUUGCAACAAUUUCUUCUUUUAAUGUCACUCCUCUAUUUUUCACCUUCAAACACGAGCCAGUUGUGAAUGAUUUAUUCUGUCAACUAAAUAGAUCUUAAAUAAAAAAUUAAAAUAAUUUGAUGCAUCUUUUUGUAUACUUUGUUGGAUGUAAUGCCUUUGGCUUAUCCAAAUAAUAUAAGCUGUUCGCCAUACCGACGUAGAUCAACGUUUUAAGAGUUUAAACUGGCUGAUAGGUUUCCACUCUAAAGCAUGCACGGAAGUUUAAACUUCAUCAAUUUUUGAACUUUUUUUUUUUAAGAAAGAAAAGGAGUUACUUCUCACUUCGCCAUCCUAUGUGGAUGGGUCCGGUUGUAUCUUAUGCAUUGGAGAAUGAAUAAUGUUCUUUCACGAUAUUAGUUAUUGGAUCAUAUUUCACAUUGAUCUUGCCUGCUGCGGAUAGGAUUUAAAUAAAAAUUAUGGUUUCCUUUUCUUUUAGUGCAGGACUUUGAGUUUUUUUUUUUGAGAUUACUGCAAUAGGAUCAACAGAUUAAUUUUUGAUUUAUCACGUAUCAGAUACCAUUAAGGCCUUUCAGACCCACAUCAGUUUCAAAACCCACCUUCCCGACAGCUACAAAUUUUGGGACGGGCCCAAGGCAUACUGCAGUACUGCACAUCCACAUAUCAAGGAAAAACAAUACCGUGCUCCGCACAAACUCAAAGGUGACGCGCAGCAGGGUGUCAGGGCCCAGGACGAGGUAACUCCAGCGACAUAAAGGAUUCACCAAAUUGCCAG